Long non-coding RNA from Gavialis gangeticus (Gharial), 1400 nucleotides. RefSeq lists it as uncharacterized. NCBI's taxonomy places the organism in Eukaryota, Metazoa, Chordata, Crocodylia, Gavialidae. The transcript has 3 exons. The record is from RefSeq and is a predicted model, not a curated record.
CCGGGAGCAAAAGGGAAAGGCCCAAAGCCCUGCUUACAGGGAGGGCCGUCAGGCCAGACAAGGGACAGGGCUGUCCCCAAAGGCACAUAGAGACCUGGACCCUCAUUAUAGGGUGGUCCACAGCUCUGCAUGAUCUAGCCCUCCAACAAGAGACAUGGGAUUCGCACCCUCCUUACAGGGUACGGUCCGUCUCACUAGCUAGACUGCCCACAGGGGGCAACAGGGAGGCCCAGAGCCCUGCUUACAGGGAGGCCUAUCAGGCCUGGCAAAGGACAGAGCUGUCCUCAAAGGCACAUUUUGACCCGGACCCCGCUUACAGGGUGGUCCACAGCUCUGCAGAAGUCAGCCCUCCAUCAAGAGACAUGGGACUCACACCCUCGUUACAAAGCACGGUCCAUCUGACUAGCCACACUGCCCAUGGGGGGCAAAAGGCAAAGACCCAGAGCCCUGCUUACAGGGAAGGCCGCCAGGCAAAGCACAGAGCUGUCCCCAAAGGCAGAGACCUGCACCCUGCUUACAGGGCGGUCCACUGCUCUGCAGAACCUAGUCUUCCACCAAGAGACAUGGGACUCGCACCCUUCUUACAUGGCGCCGUCCAUCUGAGUAGCCACACUGCCCAUGUGGGGGCAAAAGGUAAAGGCCCCGAGCCCUGCUUACAGGGAGGGCCGUCAGGCCUGGGAAAGCACAGAGCUGUCCUCAAAUGCACAGAGACCUGCACUCUAAUUACAGAGUGGUCCACAGCUCUGCACAAUCUAGCCCUCCGCCAAGAGACAUGGGACUCGCAUCCUUGUUACAGGGCAGCCCAGGGGUCCAGAUGCAGUGUGUCAGACACAGAUGCAUGAAAAAGGACAGAUGCCUGGACACAGGGAUUGGAGAGGAGGCCACAGGCUUCAACCCAGACCACGGGAAGGUCAAGCUUCUGGUUCUAAAGAGUUGGCUGUCACCCCACGAGCCUCGGCUCGUCUGCAAGGCCGUUCUGCAGCACAACGCUGCAGACUGCUCCGGCUCUGUACUACCAGCGGAAGGAGGCUACACCCACCCUCCUUACAGGGGCACCUCUCCGACUGGCUGGGAAUAGCCGUGGACUUUGACUCCCAAUUACAGGACGUCCAGCGCUACACAUAUUUUUUCUCAUGUUAGAAAGCAGCACAUACCCCACUUAUGGGUUGCUGCGCCACUGGCAGCCAGGUCUGACAGCUGGCCUGGACCCCGAUUACAGGGUGGCUGUGCUGUGCAAGACCACUAACCAGAUCCACGGCCUUUAGAAACAUGGUGGUGGUGACACACAGCUUGAUUACAAGGUUGCCCACCUUCCACCUGACUGCUGCAGAAGUGCAACAGCAUGAAGGGCAGAGACUCGUUUCUGAGUUACAGGGAGCUCGCCCAAAGGCUCACAAAGC